This is a long non-coding RNA of Phyllostomus hastatus (greater spear-nosed bat), 191 nucleotides long. RefSeq lists it as uncharacterized. NCBI's taxonomy places the organism in Eukaryota, Metazoa, Chordata, Mammalia, Chiroptera, Phyllostomidae. The record is from RefSeq and is a predicted model, not a curated record. The transcript has 3 exons.
CCUGGGGCGGCUCUUUCGCUGGCACCAAGUAACGACUGAACAAAAGUGCCCCCUUCAGGAGUUCUUCAUGAUGUUGGUACAGCUCUCUGAGAUCCUCAAAUGCCAGACAAGAAACCAAGAGUUCUUUAGUUAGGGGCUGGAGAGCUGGAACAUGGCCUGUUCUACGGGAGCCAACUCAAAAACAAUCAAGC